RNAcentral lists this ribosomal RNA (253 nucleotides) under uncultured bacterium. RNAcentral describes it as "partial 16S ribosomal RNA". It matches the Rfam family "Bacterial small subunit ribosomal RNA", at positions 524 to 776 of the family's 1533-position model. The record is from RNAcentral.
UACGAAGGGUGCAAGCGUUGUUCGGAAUCAUUGGGCGUAAAGCGCGCGCAGGCGGAUCAGCAAGUCAGAUGUGAAAUCUCGGAGCUCAACUCCGAAACUGCGUCUGAAACUGCUAGUCUAGAAUGUCGGAGGGGGCAGGGGAAUUUCACGUGUAGGGGUAAAAUCCGUAGAGAUGUGAAGGAACACCGGUGGCGAAGGCGGCAUCCUGGACCGAUAUUGACGCUGAUGCGCGAAAGCCAGGGGAGCAAACGGG